UACAGGCCGCCGCCGCUGCUGCCGUCACCGUCGCCCCCCCCCUCCGCACGCUCAUACGCACACACGUGCACCGCUGCCCGUCCGCCACCCUCUUCUGCAAUCUGCACCGGUGCUUGUCGGCGCUGUCGACAGCGAGAGGCAGACGGAAGCGGCCCAGUCAGUAGAAAGGGGAGUGGGGCCAGAGGUUUCGCUCUCGAGGCGCUUUGGCUUCCGUCUGUGCAUCUUUCUCGAUUUCUUGUCGGAUGCUGGAAGGGGCACCGCAGCCAGGGCCGCGCAUGAGCAGGAAGGACAAACAGACACGCACAAAGUAGAAAUUAUCCGGGCACACGCGCAAGCACGCUGACCCCUUGCGCUUCGCUCUCGCUGUCACGCGACUACACACGCACCUACCGAGAGAUGCCUCCCAAGCGGCCCUCUGGGCGUUCACUGGGGCCGGUGGGGUCGUCGUCGCUGACAUCAUCUACCCGCACGCCCCUUCACACACAGGAGCUGCUGCUAUUCAGCAGUCCCAUCUCCGCCACUCCGGCGAAACGAUCGACAUCGACGAACAAGCGGACAGGGUCCUCUCACGCUGUUGGAGCGCGCCAAGCUGGGCAUUCCCGGGGUUUCUCGCAGCAUCGCCAGUCACCAUCCUCGACGGCGGCCUGCAAAUGGACCGAUCGCACACCGGCCGAGUACGAGCCUCUCCCCGAGCACUACCACGCGGCACCCUGUACUUCAUCCAAAGGGUUUUCUUCUUCCAUGGCCGUCGCACCGUCUGGGGCCGUCACAGCGAACGCGAACGGCAGCCGCGUCCCGCUCCCGCCUCCCCGGCCGCAGAUCCCGCCGGCGAACGGUGCUGGUCUUACUGCUACGCCAACAACCACCGCACCUCCCAUCGUUGCCUCUGGCGCCGGAAGUCGUGUGAUCCGUCUUCUGCGCGACGCCCGUGCGGCGGUGCAAGACCCGAUCCGACCCGAGACACCAUUAGAGGUCUUCGCAGCACCGCCUUCUCUUUCGACAGGCGCGUCAGCGGAUAACCACAGACUGAGUCGCACAGCCGCCUCUUUUCACGCUCGCCGCCCUGUUCGACUGGAGAGCCGUUCGCAGCGCCGCCUGCCUGCCGGAUGGCGUCUAGCCCCCAUGGCACCGCCUUCCUCAGCGUCGGCGUCGCCCUUCUCUGGUGCGGCUCUCCAGAUAGCUGGGGGAAACGCGGCUGCGUCUUUGACUGCACCCGACGCCAGAGACGCCAUGCCUAGCAGCGCCGAUCCCCCCGUAUCCGUGUCUCACACAUCUCCGAUGCCCUCUGCAGGGAUGCUCGAGCCCCCUGGCCGCCUCACCGCUGAUAAGGAUGCAAACAACGAGCAGGCGGGACAGUCGCCGGCAGCGUCUGGCAGUCACGGAAUUGAUGCCCAGGAGUUCAGCCAACUUUACCAUGUGGCCCAGCAAGCAGGCGAUUCCAGAAUUGAACAGGCAGUCGAUCUUCUUCUUCAGCUGAAGCAGUGGCUGGUGACAUCACUGCACUCGACUGGAAAGACGCCCGCACUUGACGGGGAGGCCGUGGCGUGCCUUCAGACGACACUGCUGCACUUCUGCAGGUAUUGGCCCACUGGCGCCACGCUGCGACAGGCCGUGGAUUACUGCUUUUCCAGGAACUCUGACAUAGAAGAAUUUGACAGUGCCGAGGGCUCUCGUGCAGCAGCUUCGGCAAACACCACCCUGGUACCACUCCUAUACGCGCAAAGGUCUUUGCUUGCUGCGACCAUCAUGCUGCAGAGCUUCCCGGUCACAGCGCUCGUGGCGGAGCCCGUUUCGUUUGAGAAAAUGGUACGCACACUGCACAUUAUUGCGGAGGCGGGUCUCGCCGAGUGGGUAGCGCGUGAGACGGAUGCUCUCGGGGCACUGGUAGAAGCUCUGCGGCUGCUGGCGGGGCCUGAGCUCAGUGCCCAGCCGCAGGCGGUGCAGUGGGUUGAGUGGGUCUUGGAGACCGUCGCCCUUUGUUUGGAAGAUGCCGCCGACACCGCUGCCACCUCCGCGUCUCAUGGUGCUCCUCUGGGAGCUGGCGAUCUGAGCAUGCUUCGACUUCGGCAGCGACUGAACAGCAGUGGCUUUUCGUCACCCACGAGUCGUCCUCUUUCAGGCUGCGGGGAGACAGACGUGAUUCGCGGCAGCGGGCUUGUAGACGGCGAAGCUCCGAACCAGCUGCGCCGGAAGCAGUCAUGCCAUGUGAAGUCCUCUUCCCGUCACCUCCAUCCGCAUCCUGUCAACAACGCGCCCUUCGCUGACUCCAUCUCUUCGGGGUCACCUCUGAGCUUUAUCCAGAGUGGGGGCGGCGGGGCCGCCGCCGCGGCAUUCGCGCUCUUUCCGCCCCGCACUGCACCAGAGGAACACGUGAACCUUUGUGACCACCUUGUUUGUCUCGGCUUUCUGCCUACCCUACAGCGGAUCAGCGAUCACGCGCUAGCGCAGUGUGCCCCCUCGAACGGAGAUCGGGCAGGCUCUUCGACAGCGAAUGCCCUUGCAUCGCUGCUGCCUAUCAUUGGUACCCUUUAUCGAUGCUUUGCUCAGAGCUACCCGGAGGAGUUGCGUGGGCUCGGUGUCUUGGGCACCCUCACGAGCAUGCUAAACAUGUGCGCGACGGACGCGGCAACGGUUGAGGCGGCCGCGCGCACCCUGGUGAAACUCACCUUCGUCGAUGAGUGCUUGGCGGAGAUGCAGGCAGGAACGGCCGUGAUUGCAGCCGCCGCGCACGCGCUGCGCUCACAGCUGUUCCGCACGCACGCAGACACACCGCAAGAGUCGUCGAUAGAGCUCCUAGUCUCCCGUCUGUGCGGCGUGAUGGCCCGCGUCGCAGAGGACAGCACGGAGCAGCAGGAGUACCUUGUGUCUACUUCGAUGGUGCACCUCUUGGAGGCGCUAACAACGCGUUACGUUACCGUUUCCGGCCCUGCAGACCUCGAGCUAGAGCAUUUCAGUGAUUCGUUGCCGCUGCCGCCAUCGCCAGUGCUACAGGCUGUGGUCUGGGUGCUUGGUAUUGCAUCCAUGUCACCCCAGUGCCCCUUGCAGCUCGUGCGGUCAGUGACGCCGCCGCUGGUGCGCCUCUUGGCGGUGCUGAGGAAAACGCCGAAUAUGCAGUUGACGGCCGUGUACGUGCUCAUGUGUCUCAGCAAUCUGUCGUACUUCUUCGGCGCCUUCGAGUCUUUAGAGCCGGCCCGCAGUGAGAACGACGGCGGGUAUGCAUCCGACUGGCUUCCCUCCCUUUACAGCUCCCUCGGGUUGCUGCUGGCACAUUACCUCUUUGAGGACAACGCUGAGGCCACUGUGGAGGCUACUCGCAUCCUCGGUAACAUCAGCUACACGAACGCCGGGCGCGACUGGAUGGAGGCAAACCACUGCGACGAGGUGACAGUGCUCUUCCUCGGACACGAAGAUUUGCGUAUCGUGUACAACUGCUGUGGAGUGCUGCUCAACCUGACGGCAGCCUCGCCGUGCCGCAUCGUGCAGGAUCCAGAGCUGCUGCAAACCAUGCUCUCAUACACGUCGCGAUACACCGACCAGGACAGAGUCGAGGCAGUGACGGCUCUCGAGGAGGCGCGACUGCGUCAGGAGCAGCAGGAGCUGCAGCAGCAGCGGCGCGGCGGGGAUGUGAAGGAACUCGCGUCCGAGGCGAGCAGCCACAUCGCACAGAUCUCGGAUAUUGUGGAGAAACUGCUCCUCAACGUGCAUGGUGUGCUUAAAGCAUCCGCCAUAUAGAAAAUGUCGGCAGGGAUAACAAAGGCCCGCAGCAGGCUACCGCGCUGUGCCGCAGCCUGGCAACUGUUGUGCUUCAAGGUGAUGUGCGUGCGGCGCUGCAUACGAGGAUUGCGUGUAGUGGUGGUUAGGGGCCACUCCACACGUGUGCUCGUGCGGGCCAUCCUGUAUUUGCUGUGGUGGCCAUUUUGAUUCACCCUUCUCCCUCUUUCUUUUGCAGGGGCUGCUUCGCUCCGUCAUGUACAUAGCCGACGAUGCUGUUGUUACGUGUUGAUUGCAUGUGUGCGCCAAGCUAGUGUUUGCCUCGUUCCAACCAUCGCUCCCUCGAAUGGAGGGGGGAGAGGGGAGUUCGCGCCGUGGUAGCGCGUACGGAUGCACGUGCGAGCACGCGCGCGUGCUCGGCCGGUGCGGCGACACGGAUUUCGGUUGAUGGACGAGAAAGAAGGAAAAGAAAGACAACGCCAAUGCCAGCAAGGACUUUCUCUUCUUUCCACCACUCCGGAAAAAGGGCGAGACCGAUGCAUUAAGCCCCAACGGUCGGACGCGUGCAGUACCUGAGAUACA
This 4293-nucleotide unclassified non-coding RNA is filed under the name Leishmania donovani. RNAcentral describes it as "gene:LdHU3.33.3120(CDS-product:hypothetical_prote in_conserved)". The record is from RNAcentral. Lineage: Eukaryota; Euglenozoa; Kinetoplastea; Trypanosomatida; Trypanosomatidae.